CAGAACGAACGCUGGCGGCGUGGAUUAGGCAUGCAAGUCGAGCGGGAUCCAUCGAAGCUUGCUUUGAUAGUGAGAGCGGCGAACGGGUGAGGAAUACAUGGGUAAUCUGCCUUUUAGUCUGGAAUAGCUUCGGGAAACUGGAGGUAAUGCCGGAUGCGGUCGAUUAUCAUAAGAUAAUCUGUUUAAAGCGGGGGAUCUUCGGACCUCGUGCUAAGAGAUGGGCCCGUGUCCUAUCAGCUAGUUGGUGAGGUAAUGGCUCACCAAGGCGAUGACGGGUAGCUGGUCUGAGAGGAUGGUCAGCCACACUGGGACUGAGACACUGCCCAGACUCCUACGGGAGGCUGCAGUCGAGAAUCAUUCACAAUGCACGAAAGUGUGAUGAUGCGACGCCGCGUGAAGGAUGAAGGCCCUAGGGUCGUAAACUUCUGUCGGAAGGGAAGAAUUGCUCCAGGGUUAAUACCCCUGUUGUUUGACGGUACCUUCAGAGGAAGCCACGGCUAACUUCGUGCCAGCAGCCGCGGUAAUACGAAGGUGGCGAGCGUUGUUCGGAUUUACUGGGCGUAAAGGGAGCGUAGGCGGCAUUGUAUGUCGGAUGUGAAAGCCCACGGCUUAACCGUGGAAAUGCAUUCGAAACUGCAGUGCUAGAGUAUCGGAGAGGUAAGUGGAAUUCUUGGUGUAGCGGUGAAAUGCGUAGAUAUCAAGAGGAACACCAGCGGCGAAGGCGGCUUACUGGACGAAUACUGACGCUGAGGCUCGAAAGCCGGGGGAGCGAAGAGGAUUAGAUACCCUCGUAGUCCCGGCCGUAAACGUUGUACACUUGGUGUGGGAGGAUUUAUCCCCUUCCGUGCCGUAGCUAACGUGUUAAGUGUACCGCCUGGGGAGUACGGUCGCAAGAUUAAAACUCAAAGGAAUUGACGGGGGCCCGCACAAGCGGUGGAGCAUGUGGCUUAAUUCGAUGCAACGCGAAGAACCUUACCUGGGCUUGACAUGCCUGUCGUACCUCUGUGAAAGCUCGGGGUCAUUUAGUUGGACGGUGCACAGGUGCUGCAUGGCUGUCGUCAGCUCGUGCCGUGAGGUGUUGGGUUAAGUCCCGCAACGAGCGCAACCCUUGUCUCUAGUUGCCAUCUGGGAGCGAUCCGCAGGGAACUCUAGAGAGACUGCCUAUGUAAGUAGGAGGAAGGUGGGGAUGACGUCAAGUCAGUAUGGCCCUUAUGUCCAGGGCUGCACACGUGCUACAAUGGACGGUAUAAUAGGCAGCAAUACCGCGAGGUGGAGCAAAUCCUCAAAACCGUCCUCAGUUCGGAUUGGAGUCUGCAACUCGACUCCAUGAAGCUGGAAUCGCUAGUAAAGGGGCAUCAGCUACGGCCCCUUGAAUACGUUCCCGGGCCUUGUACACACCGCCCGUCACGUCAUGAAAGCUGUCUGCUCCCGAAGUCACCGUAUCAAC
This 1447-nucleotide ribosomal RNA is filed under the name uncultured prokaryote. RNAcentral's name for it is "partial 16S ribosomal RNA". It matches the Rfam family "Bacterial small subunit ribosomal RNA". The record is from RNAcentral.